GCGCCUAUGACCGAGUGGAUUAGGUAUCAUAAUUCUAGUGUGAUAAACGUGGGUUCGAAUCCUGCUGGGCGCGCCA
Molecule: transfer RNA, 76 nt
Rfam family: tRNA
About the family: Transfer RNA (tRNA) molecules are approximately 80 nucleotides in length. Their secondary structure includes four short double-helical elements and three loops (D, anti-codon, and T loops).